CGCGCUUUGGUGUAGUGGUCGCACAGCAAGCUCAUGACUUGUUAGACCAGAGUUCAAACCCUGGAAUGCGC
This 71-nucleotide transfer RNA is filed under the name Ceraceosorus bombacis. It matches the Rfam family "tRNA". Rfam says of the family: Transfer RNA (tRNA) molecules are approximately 80 nucleotides in length. Their secondary structure includes four short double-helical elements and three loops (D, anti-codon, and T loops). The record is from Rfam by way of RNAcentral. Lineage: Eukaryota; Fungi; Basidiomycota; Exobasidiomycetes; Ceraceosorales; Ceraceosoraceae.